Molecule: ribosomal RNA, 2900 nt
Filed under: Klebsiella pneumoniae
Lineage: Bacteria; Pseudomonadati; Pseudomonadota; Gammaproteobacteria; Enterobacterales; Enterobacteriaceae
Description: 23S ribosomal RNA
Rfam family: Bacterial large subunit ribosomal RNA
Source: RNAcentral
UUAAGCGACUAAGCGUACACGGUGGAUGCCCUGGCAGUCAGAGGCGAUGAAGGACGUGCUAAUCUGCGAAAAGCGUCGGUAAGGUGAUAUGAACCGUUAUAACCGGCGAUGUCCGAAUGGGGAAACCCAGUGUGAUUCGUCACACUAUCGUUAACUGAAUACAUAGGUUAACGAGGCGAACCGGGGGAACUGAAACAUCUAAGUACCCCGAGGAAAAGAAAUCAACCGAGAUUCCCCCAGUAGCGGCGAGCGAACGGGGAGCAGCCCAGAGUCUGAAUCAGCUUGUGUGUUAGUGGAACGGUCUGGAAAGUCCGACGGUACAGGGUGAUAGUCCCGUACACCAAAAUGCACAGGCUGUGAACUCGAAGAGUAGGGCGGGACACGUGGUAUCCUGUCUGAAUAUGGGGGGACCAUCCUCCAAGGCUAAAUACUCCUGACUGACCGAUAGUGAACCAGUACCGUGAGGGAAAGGCGAAAAGAACCCCGGCGAGGGGAGUGAAAAAGAACCUGAAACCGUGUACGUACAAGCAGUGGGAGCACCUUCGGGUGUGACUGCGUACCUUUUGUAUAAUGGGUCAGCGACUUAUAUUCUGUAGCAAGGUUAACCGUAUAGGGGAGCCGCAGGGAAACCGAGUCUUAACUGGGCGUUAAGUUGCAGGGUAUAGACCCGAAACCCGGUGAUCUAGCCAUGGGCAGGUUGAAGGUUGGGUAACACUAACUGGAGGACCGAACCGACUAAUGUUGAAAAAUUAGCGGAUGACUUGUGGCUGGGGGUGAAAGGCCAAUCAAACCGGGAGAUAGCUGGUUCUCCCCGAAAGCUAUUUAGGUAGCGCCUCGUGAAUUCAUCUUCGGGGGUAGAGCACUGUUUCGGCUAGGGGGUCAUCCCGACUUACCAACCCGAUGCAAACUACGAAUACCGAAGAAUGUUAUCACGGGAGACACACGGCGGGUGCUAACGUCCGUCGUGAAGAGGGAAACAACCCAGACCGCCAGCUAAGGUCCCAAAGUCAUGGUUAAGUGGGAAACGAUGUGGGAAGGCACAGACAGCCAGGAUGUUGGCUUAGAAGCAGCCAUCAUUUAAAGAAAGCGUAAUAGCUCACUGGUCGAGUCGGCCUGCGCGGAAGAUGUAACGGGGCUAAACCAUGCACCGAAGCUGCGGCAGCGACACUAUGUGUUGUUGGGUAGGGGAGCGUUCUGUAAGCCUGCGAAGGUGACCUGUGAGGGUUGCUGGAGGUAUCAGAAGUGCGAAUGCUGACAUAAGUAACGAUAAAGCGGGUGAAAAGCCCGCUCGCCGGAAGACCAAGGGUUCCUGUCCAACGUUAAUCGGGGCAGGGUGAGUCGACCCCUAAGGCGAGGCCGAAAGGCGUAGUCGAUGGGAAACAGGUUAAUAUUCCUGUACUUGGUGUUACUGCGAAGGGGGGACGGAGAAGGCUAUGUUAGCCGGGCGACGGUUGUCCCGGUUUAAGCAUGUAGGCUGGUUAUCCAGGCAAAUCCGGAUAAUCAAGGCUGAGGUGUGAUGACGAGGCACUACGGUGCUGAAGUAACAAAUGCCCUGCUUCCAGGAAAAGCCUCUAAGCAUCAGGUAACAUCAAAUCGUACCCCAAACCGACACAGGUGGUCAGGUAGAGAAUACCAAGGCGCUUGAGAGAACUCGGGUGAAGGAACUAGGCAAAAUGGUGCCGUAACUUCGGGAGAAGGCACGCUGGUGUGUAGGUGAAGCCCCUGCGGGUGGAGCUGAGACCAGUCGAAGAUACCAGCUGGCUGCAACUGUUUAUUAAAAACACAGCACUGUGCAAACACGAAAGUGGACGUAUACGGUGUGACGCCUGCCCGGUGCCGGAAGGUUAAUUGAUGGGGUUAUCCGUAAGGAGAAGCUCUUGAUCGAAGCCCCGGUAAACGGCGGCCGUAACUAUAACGGUCCUAAGGUAGCGAAAUUCCUUGUCGGGUAAGUUCCGACCUGCACGAAUGGCGUAAUGAUGGCCAGGCUGUCUCCACCCGAGACUCAGUGAAAUUGAACUCGCUGUGAAGAUGCAGUGUACCCGCGGCAAGACGGAAAGACCCCGUGAACCUUUACUAUAGCUUGACACUGAACAUUGAGCCUUGAUGUGUAGGAUAGGUGGGAGGCUUUGAAGCGUGGACGCCAGUCUGCGUGGAGCCAACCUUGAAAUACCACCCUUUAAUGUUUGAUGUUCUAACGUUGGCCCCUUACCGGGGUUGCGGACAGUGUCUGGUGGGUAGUUUGACUGGGGCGGUCUCCUCCCAAAGCGUAACGGAGGAGCACGAAGGUUAGCUAAUCCUGGUCGGACAUCAGGAGGUUAGUGCAAUGGCAUAAGCUAGCUUGACUGCGAGCGUGACGGCGCGAGCAGGUGCGAAAGCAGGUCAUAGUGAUCCGGUGGUUCUGAAUGGAAGGGCCAUCGCUCAACGGAUAAAAGGUACUCCGGGGAUAACAGGCUGAUACCGCCCAAGAGUUCAUAUCGACGGCGGUGUUUGGCACCUCGAUGUCGGCUCAUCACAUCCUGGGGCUGAAGUAGGUCCCAAGGGUAUGGCUGUUCGCCAUUUAAAGUGGUACGCGAGCUGGGUUUAGAACGUCGUGAGACAGUUCGGUCCCUAUCUGCCGUGGGCGCUGGAGAAUUGAGGGGGGCUGCUCCUAGUACGAGAGGACCGGAGUGGACGCAUCACUGGUGUUCGGGUUGUCAUGCCAAUGGCACUGCCCGGUAGCUAAAUGCGGAAGAGAUAAGUGCUGAAAGCAUCUAAGCACGAAACUUGCCCCGAGAUGAGUUCUCCCUGAGACUUUAAGUCUCCUGAAGGAACGUUAAAGACGAUGACGUUGAUAGGCCGGGUGUGUAAGCGCAGCGAUGCGUUGAGCUAACCGGUACUAAUGAACCGUGAGGCUUAACCUU